Molecule: ribosomal RNA, 1356 nt
Filed under: uncultured bacterium
Lineage: Bacteria
Description: bacterial SSU rRNA
Rfam family: Bacterial small subunit ribosomal RNA
Source: RNAcentral
AUUGAACGCUGGCGGCAGGCUUAACACAUGCAAGUCGAACGAUGAUUUCCCAGCUUGCUGGGAAUGAUUAGUGGCGGACGGGUGAGUAACAUUUAGGAAUCUGCCUAGUAGUGGGGGAUAGCUCGGGGAAACUCGAAUUAAUACCGCAUACGACCUACGGGUGAAAGGGGGCGCAAGCUCUUGCUAUUAGAUGAGCCUAAAUCAGAUUAGCUAGUUGGUGGGGUAAAGGCCCACCAAGGCGACGAUCUGUAACUGGUCUGAGAGGAUGAUCAGUCACACCGGAACUGAGACACGGUCCGGACUCCUACGGGAGGCAGCAGUGGGGAAUAUUGGACAAUGGGGGCAACCCUGAUCCAGCCAUGCCGCGUGUGUGAAGAAGGCCUUUUGGUUGUAAAGCACUUUAAGCAGGGAGGAGAGGCUAAUGGUUAAUACCCAUUAGAUUAGACGUUACCUGCAGAAUAAGCACCGGCUAACUCUGUGCCAGCAGCCGCGGUAAUACAGAGGGUGCGAGCGUUAAUCGGAAUUACUGGGCGUAAAGCGAGUGUAGGUGGCUCAUUAAGUCACAUGUGAAAUCCCCGGGGCUUAACCUGGGAACUGCAUGUGAUACUGGUGGUGCUAGAAUAUGUGAGAGGGAAGUAGAAUUCCAGGUGUAGCGGUGAAAUGCGUAGAGAUCUGGAGGAAUACCGAUGGCGAAGGCAGCUUCCUGGCAUAAUAUUGACACUGAGAUUCGAAAGCGUGGGUAGCAAACAGGAUUAGAUACCCUGGUAGUCCACGCCGUAAACGAUGUCUACUAGCCGUUGGGGUCCUUGAGACUUUAGUGGCGCAGUUAACGCGAUAAGUAGACCGCCUGGGGAGUACGGCCGCAAGGUUAAAACUCAAAUGAAUUGACGGGGGCCCGCACAAGCGGUGGAGCAUGUGGUUUAAUUCGAUGCAACGCGAAGAACCUUACCUGGUCUUGACAUAGUGAGAAUCCUGCAGAGAUGCGGGAGUGCCUUCGGGAAUUCACAUACAGGUGCUGCAUGGCUGUCGUCAGCUCGUGUCGUGAGAUGUUGGGUUAAGUCCCGCAACGAGCGCAACCCUUUUCCUUAUUUGCCAGCGGGUUAAGCCGGGAACUUUAAGGAUACUGCCAGUGACAAACUGGAGGAAGGCGGGGACGACGUCAAGUCAUCAUGGCCCUUACGACCAGGGCUACACACGUGCUACAAUGGUAGGUACAGAGGGUUGCUACACAGCGAUGUGAUGCUAAUCUCAAAAAGCCUAUCGUAGUCCGGAUUGGAGUCUGCAACUCGACUCCAUGAAGUCGGAAUCGCUAGUAAUCGCAGAUCGGAAUGCUGCGGUGAAUACGUUCCCGGGCCU